GACGAACGCUGGCGGCGUGCUUAACACAUGCAAGUCGAACGGAAAGGCCCUGCUUUUGUGGGGUGCUCGAGUGGCGAAAGGGUGAGUAACACGUGAGUAACCUGCCCUUGACUUUGGGAUAACUUCAGGAAACUGGGGCUAAUACCGGAUAGGAGCUCCUGCUGCAUGGUGGGGGGUGGAAAGUUUCGGCGGUUGGGGAUGGACUCGGGGCUUAUCAGCUUGUUGGUGGGGUGGUGGCUUACCAAGGCGUUGACGGGUAGCCGGCCUGAGAGGGUGACCGGCCACAUUGGGACGGAGGUACGGCCCAGAAGCCUACGGGAGGCAGCAGUGGGGAAUAUUGCACAAUGGGCGGAAGCCUGAUGCAGCAACGCCGCGUGCGGGAUGACGGCCUUCGGGUUGUAAACCGCUUGCGCCGGUGACGAAGCGUGAGUGACGGUAAUGUGUAAAGAAGCACCGGCUAACUACGUG
This 468-nucleotide ribosomal RNA is filed under the name uncultured bacterium. Its description in RNAcentral is "partial 16S ribosomal RNA". It matches the Rfam family "Bacterial small subunit ribosomal RNA", at positions 28 to 507 of the family's 1533-position model. The record is from RNAcentral.